This 254-nucleotide ribosomal RNA is filed under the name uncultured bacterium. Its description in RNAcentral is "partial 16S ribosomal RNA". It matches the Rfam family "Bacterial small subunit ribosomal RNA", at positions 524 to 776 of the family's 1533-position model. The record is from RNAcentral.
UACGUAGGGACCAAGCGUUGUCCGGAAUCAUUGGGCGUAAAGGGCGCGUAGGUGGCCCGGUCAGUCUUUGGUGAAAGCGCGGGGCUCAACCCUGCGUCGGCCUGGGAUACUGCCGCGGCUGGAGCACUGUAGAGGCAGGCGGAAUUCCGGGUGUAGCGGUGGAAUGCGUAGAGAUCCGGAAGAACACCGGUGGCGAAGGCGGCCUGCUGGGCAGUUGCUGACACUGAGGCGCGACAGCGUGGGGAGCAAACAGG